This is a long non-coding RNA of Pangasianodon hypophthalmus (striped catfish), 2119 nucleotides long. RefSeq lists it as uncharacterized. The transcript has 7 exons. The record is from RefSeq and is a predicted model, not a curated record. NCBI's taxonomy places the organism in Eukaryota, Metazoa, Chordata, Actinopteri, Siluriformes, Pangasiidae.
AUAAAAAUGGAGGUCAAAAAGCGAACAGGGAGAAAAGAAAAGUAAUUGGACUGGGUAAAGUUCCCAUAAUUCUAUAAUUAUGUUCUACACCUGGUCCGUCUGGUAACUUGUCUCUCUCCUCGACAGUGAACUCUUCUGUCUGAUGAGGACCGGGGAUGAACACACUGUGAGAGCGUUCUGUCCAUUCCUUCGUGACUGAUUAUAUUGGGGUCUGAGGAGCAGAACAGUGCCUAUUCUUGCUUAGCGCUUAGUCCACAGACAGCUGAAAGAAGACGACAGAAGGGAGGAAAAUAAUCCUGGCAGCACAUUGAAGAAUCAGACGUUAAUCUACUUAAACACCUCAUGAAUACUUGACUACUCAGUGGCCACUAAGUGUUGUAACCACUUUCUAGCUAAAGUUCUAUAGAUACUUCAGAUCAGUAAGUACUCACCAGACUUGGAACAGGGCUCUUCAGCAGAAUUUGGUUUUACAUAUCAUAACUGCAAAUGCGAUAUAAGUUAUCCAAAAGAAGAGGAGAUGCAUUCCAACAGUUCAAAAUGGAUAGUAUUUCAGAAUCUGCUGAUCAUCUGGGAUUUUCAUGCACUGCAGUCUCUGGAAUUUGCACAGAAUGGUGUACAGCAGUUCUGUGGGUGGAAACACUUUGUUGAGAGGGUAGAGGAGAAUGGCCAGACUGGUUUGAGCCACCACUAAGGGCGAUGGUAACACAAAUAGCCACUCUUAACAACCGUGGUGAGCAGGAAAGCAUCUCGGAGUGCAUGUCAAACCUUGAAGCAGAUGUGUACAACAACAGAAGCCCAUAUUGGGUUCUACUCCUGUCAGCCAAGAACAGGAAUCUGGGAUGACAGUGGGCACAGGCUCUUCAAAACUAGGCAGCUGAAGAUGUUUUUCCAAACUUCGAAACCGUCCAGUUUGAGUCAUGGCCUUGCUUUUUGCCUUGCUCCUUCACAUCAGGACUCACUCAACACACAUAAGGAGUUGCUGAGAGCCCCUGAACAGAGUCAAACACACACAAAUGCAGCACUGGAUUAUACAGUGUCUGUGGAUGGAGGGAUCCGGUUAACUGUGCGCUGUAUGAAAGCGUGUGGUUGGCAGGAGAUGAUGACCCAGGUCCAGGUAUUUGGUCCUGCUCAGAGUUUCUGAAAAGAGCCAUUCAUGCGCAGAAUGACAUUACUCAGAAACAGGAAAAUCUUUAGUGAAUAGUACAUUGACUUUGGUCUGAAUUGCACUCUUUCAAGUGGGGCAAAGGCCAUCAGGCCCCUUCUGGAUCUGCGCUGCUCAGAAGUUUCAAAGCUGAUCAAAGAGUCCUAGUCACAGUUCUGCUGGUUGAAUGUCAGUGAAAUAUUUAGUGAUUGAAACCAGGCAUAAUAUUAUGUACAUGCAACAAAACAACAAGACUUAAGUCUCUGUAUAUAUAUAUUUUUUUACACGUAAUCCACUUCUGUUCCUUUCCAUAAUUGAUGGUUCCUGAAGUGCCAAACAAAUUCAAAGCAUAAAAAGUAUUUGUAUAAUUCUCAUACAGGCACUCCUUAGAACCUUGAAUGCUUCUGGGAAUGGGAUGGAAAUGCACCUUUAGAUAUAGCCUAAACGUCAGCUCAUUAACAGAGUUAUGUACAAACUAGUGCUGAAUGGGGUUAAGGGUUAAGGCAAUCAGGGCUUUGGGGUUAAUUACCUAAUUUGCAAAACUAUAGCUGUAGACUGUGAAUGCGUUUUAAUUAACGGCUAUGUUUAUUUGUUCCCUUUGCAGUAAUUCCCUUUCAAAGGAAAGUGCUUCUGCUUAUUUGUCCUGAAAUGGGAAACUGAUUAAAGAACAUUUGGUGGACUUGAGUGAAAUGUGCCUCUAUGUUUUAAGUCUACCAUGAACACUAUAUUCCUUUAGAGUGGGUUCUGGGACUUCUGAAUCUUAAAUUUGGCUUAUUUUCUAAUUUAUAUUGGUAUGAGCACCCUCAUGUGCAUCAUUGUAUAUGAUAUGUGUACAUCAUCAUGUAUUAUUGUUGAAGGAAGCAUGCUUGCUUAGUAUUUCUUGACUUAGUAUUUCUUGUAUGCAAAGUGCAUUCAUGCCUUGUAUGCAAAGUACUGCAUGCGCUUUUUCAAAUAAAUUCUUAUUUCAACAGUAUUAUA